AGAACCACAUAGUUGCCUUUUUAAUUGUGUGUAUAUGCAGGUUGCAGACAUCAAAUUAUUGAUCCACUUGGGUUAAUGGCUUAAUGCUAUUCAAAUAACCAUACCUUAGUUACAAUGACAAGAGGGCAAAAGCAGCAGCAGCAAGGUGCCUCAUCUAAUGUGGCAUAGCAAACUCUCUUUUUUUAGUUGUGAUCAACAACAAGGCAGUGUAGUUUAUUAAGCAUAUAUAACCAUUCAGGGAUCUGCCGAUUUUGGUGAGUCGACUUUUCUUGUUUGAAAUUGUGAAAGAAGUAUCACAUGUUAGACAUUACUAGGACAGGGAUCACAUAUUAGACCACAUCGCUCCUUGUUGAUUAUUCAUGUUCAUUUUUUUGUUUAUGAUGGAUUUUCUUUGAAUCUGUAAGCAAGGUUUUAAUAGCCAUGCAUGGCACCAUGCAACUUAGUUAUAUUGUGGUACUACUACAGAACUGCCUUUUUCUCUACAAACUCCUUGGUCUUGGUAGAAUUUUUCUCAUGUUACAUUAAUAAUUCACUUGGAGUGCUUUCAUUGGAAAUUCUUUUGUUGUAUCUGAUGUUCCCUACACCCCUUUUGUCAUGUGCAACGAGGAGAACUUAUAGCUUAGAUUCUGCAGACCUGGCGUCAAUAAAGGUGGUGCUUGCAGGCUCACACAAAUUCGAUGAUGGUGCCAGCCUAUAUUUUUUUGGUGCUAGAGAGUGAGGCUUGAAGACUUGCUUUGUCUCAAUGUUUAUAGUGAAAAGGACACGGCUAACGUGCGGCCGGCCCGUAAGGCCGCCCCAAUUAGGAAAGACAAAUAGAAUAAGCAAAUUCUACUUUUCAUA
Molecule: long non-coding RNA, 840 nt
Organism: Panicum virgatum (switchgrass)
Lineage: Eukaryota; Viridiplantae; Streptophyta; Magnoliopsida; Poales; Poaceae
Exons: 3
Source: RefSeq, a predicted model, not a curated record